GAUAUCAAGCCCCGCCCCCUUUGUUUCCUCUCGGGUACCACCAGAGCCGCUGGAUCUACGACGAAGAGGCUGACGUGAAGGCUGUGGACGCUGGAUUCGACCGCCACGACAUCCCGUGCGACGUUAUCUGGAUGGAUAUCGAGCACACGGAGGGGAAGCGUUACUUCACCUGGGACGCCGCGCUUUUCCCCCCAACCGGCCAACCUGCAGCGCCACCUGGAGGAGAGGAAGAGGAAGUUGGUCGUGAUAACCGAUCCUCACAUCAAGAUCGACCCCGGUUGGUGUUUGUCUAAUGAGGCCAGAGAUGGGGGGCACUUCAUCAAGAACAGAGACGGGCAGAUCUAUGAGGGGUCUCGUUGGCCUGGUCCUGUUUGCUGCCUUACUGGUUCACUCUGUUCCACCUGGCUCACACCUCCGUCUGCCUCCCUCUGCUGCCCAGUGGAAGUACUGCAGGCUGUUUGUCCACUUUACCUUCUGCUUUCUGACACUAGAGGUCCAUGUUUGUCAUGUUUUAAGUUGGUCAUUAAAACAUCAGUAGAUCCACUUUUAUAGAAGAGCUUAUGGAAAUGCUUGUUUUAUUCAAACGCGCACAGACCUCUCUGGGUGGAGUUCCCAGGAGAACAGAG
Long non-coding RNA from Gasterosteus aculeatus aculeatus (three-spined stickleback), 626 nucleotides. The record is from Ensembl. NCBI's taxonomy places the organism in Eukaryota, Metazoa, Chordata, Actinopteri, Perciformes, Gasterosteidae.